This 254-nucleotide ribosomal RNA is filed under the name uncultured bacterium. RNAcentral describes it as "partial 16S ribosomal RNA". It matches the Rfam family "Bacterial small subunit ribosomal RNA", at positions 524 to 776 of the family's 1533-position model. The record is from RNAcentral.
UACGGAGGUGGCGAGCGUUGUCCGAAGUUACUGGGCGUAAAGCGCGCGUAGGCGGGGGAUUAAGUGAGAAGUGAAAGGCUGGGGCUCAACUCCAUGCAGUGCUUAUCAUACUGGUCUUCUUGAGGGGGGUAGAGAGAAGUGGAAUGGCUGGUGUAGCGGUGAAAUGCGUAGAUAUCAGGAGGAACACCUGUGGCGAAAGCGGCUCACUGGACCAUAACUGACGCUGAUGCACGAAAGCUAGGGGAGCAAACAGG